CCCUGGCUCAGGACGAACGCCGGCGGCGUGCCUAAUACAUGCAAGUCGAGCGGGUUUAUCCUUCGGGAUAAGCUAGCGGCGGACGGGUGAGUAACACGUAGGUAACCUGCCUUUAAGACUGGGAUAACUAUCGGAAACGAUAGCUAAGACCGGAUAACUGGUUUUCUCGCAUGGGAGAAUCAUAAAACACGGAGCAAUCUGUGGCUUGAAGAUGGGCCUGCGGCGCAUUAGCUAGUUGGUGAGGUAACGGCUCACCAAGGCGACGAUGCGUAGCCGACCUGAGAGGGUGAACGGCCACACUGGGACUGAGACACGGCCCAGACUCCUACGGGAGGCAGCAGUAGGGAAUCUUCCGCAAUGGACGCAAGUCUGACGGAGCAACGCCGCGUGAGUGAUGAAGGUUUUCGGAUCGUAAAGCUCUGUUGCCCUAGACGAACAGCAUGAGGAGUAACUGCCUUGUGUGUGACGGUAUAGGAGAAGAAAGCCCCGGCUAACUA
RNAcentral lists this ribosomal RNA (497 nucleotides) under Paenibacillaceae bacterium CL5.71. Its description in RNAcentral is "bacterial SSU rRNA". It matches the Rfam family "Bacterial small subunit ribosomal RNA", at positions 17 to 503 of the family's 1533-position model. The record is from RNAcentral. Lineage: Bacteria; Bacillati; Bacillota; Bacilli; Caryophanales; Paenibacillaceae.